GACGAACGCUGGCGGCGUGCCUAAUACAUGCAAGUGGGACGCAAGGAAACACACUGUGCUUGCACACCGUGUUUUCUUGAGUCGCGAACGGGUGAGUAACGCGUAGGUAACCUGCCUAUUAGCGGGGGAUAACUAUUGGAAACGAUAGCUAAUACCGCAUAAUAUUAAUUAUUGCAUGAUAAUUGAUUGAAAGAUGCAAGCGCAUCACUAGUAGAUGGACCUGCGUUGUAUUAGCUAGUUGGUAAGGUAAGAGCUUACCAAGGCGACGAUACAUAGCCGACCUGAGAGGGUGAUCGGCCACACUGGGACUGAGACACGGCCCAGACUCCUACGGGAGGCAGCAGUAGGGAAUCCUCGGCAAUGGACGAAAGUCUGACCGAGCAACGCCGCGUGAGUGAAGAAGGUUUUCGGAUCGUAAAGCUCUGUUGUAAGUCAAGAACGUGUGUGAGAGUGGAAAGUUCACACAGUGACGGUAGCUUACCAGAAAGGGACGGCUAACUACGUG
Molecule: ribosomal RNA, 505 nt
Filed under: uncultured bacterium
Lineage: Bacteria
Description: partial 16S ribosomal RNA
Rfam family: Bacterial small subunit ribosomal RNA
Source: RNAcentral